Molecule: ribosomal RNA, 467 nt
Filed under: uncultured bacterium
Lineage: Bacteria
Description: partial 16S ribosomal RNA
Rfam family: Bacterial small subunit ribosomal RNA
Source: RNAcentral
ACGCACGCUGGCGGCGUGCUUCACCCAUGCCAGUCGCACGGAAAGGCCCUGCUUUUGUGAGGUGCUCGAGUGGCGAACGGGUGAGUAACACGUGAGUAACCUGCCCUUGACUUUGGGAUAACUUCAGGAAACUGGGGCUAAUACCGGAUAGGAGCUCCUGCUGCAUGGUGGGGGUUGGAAAGUUUCGGCGGUUGGGGAUGGACUCGCGGCUUAUCAGCUUGUUGGUGGGGUAGUGGCUUACCAAGGCUUUGACGGGUAGCCGGCCUGAGAGGGUGACCGGCCACAUUGGGACUGAGAUACGGCCCAGACUCCUACGGGAGGCAGCAGUGGGGAAUAUUGCACAAUGGGCGGAAGCCUGAUGCAGCAACGCCGCGUGCGGGAUGACGGCCUUCGGGUUGUAAACCGCUUUCGCCUGUGACGAAGCGUGAGUGACGGUAAUGGGUAAAGAAGCACCGGCUAACUACGUG